AUAUAUAUAUAUAUACUAAAAUUGGAACGAUACAGAGAUUAGCAUACAUGACACGCUAAAAUUAUGAAACGAUUUACAUUUUU
This is a small nuclear RNA of Apis dorsata (giant honeybee), 83 nucleotides long. The record is from RefSeq and is a predicted model, not a curated record. NCBI's taxonomy places the organism in Eukaryota, Metazoa, Arthropoda, Insecta, Hymenoptera, Apidae.